CUUGGAGAGAUAGUGGGGAAGGAAGAAGCAGAAGCAGAGAAGGGCAAGGCAAGACCUCAUUUGGGAUACUCAUUAAGAGUUUCUCAUGGGUGAAAGCCUUAUGUCUGGAUAUUCUUCAGCUUAUCAAUGUCCUUCCCAAAAUAUGGUGGAAAGAACUGAACGUGAUCUUGCAGAGAAUCCUUCACAAGAACUCUAUUCACAAGGACUCUAUUCAUUGGCUGAGGUACCUUCCUAUAAAACUCUUGACAUCAGGAGGAUGCCAUUAGAACACAUAAAAUGGUUAUAUAUAGAAGUUAUGCUACUACUACUUAAGACAUAAAUUGCACAAAGAAUUCAGCACUGGGACUGGAGUCAGGAAGAUCUGAAUUGAAAUAGCUGUGUGAUGCAAGCAAGUCAUUUAACUUCUGUCUACCUCAGUUUCCCCAACUAUACAAGGGGAUAAUAAUAGCACCUAUUUCCCCAGAUUACUAUGAAGAUGAGAUUAGAUAUUUGUAAAAUGUUUAUCUCAGUACCUGGAAAACAAUAUAGGCACUUAAUAAAUACUUAUACCUUCCUCCCAAUAUGACCAGUACAUUUCCUUUUCUAGUCGUACAUCCUUUUCUAACUCUGAUAUACAGUGCCAUUGUUUAUUAGUAAUAUAUGAGAGCAUAUCAUGCUCACUAUGUCUCUCUUCAGUGUCCUUUAAGUAAUAUGUGAAUUAAACUUUUUUUCAAAAAAGAAAUAGAUGACUAUCGAUAUCUUUUAUUUCUAUGACAUUGACAUUUCUCUCUGUAUACUUUUCCCCUCCUAGAACCAUACAUUAUUUUUUAAUGAAAUGAGAGGAAUAAAAGGAGGAAAAGUUAAAUAAAGCUCACCAGGACAUUAGAAGGGUGUUUGAUAGUAUAUUUAAUGUGUCACACAAAGCUUGGAGUCCCUGCCUCUAUAGAAGAAGAAGGAGAUACCUCAUAAUUUCUUUUCAGAGUCCACUUUGGUUAUUAUAAUUGUACAAUAUUAAAUCUCAAUUGUCCUUUUGAUCUUUGUAUUUGCAAUGUUUUGGUCAUUAUGUCUAGUUUGGAUCUCCAAAUUCAAGGGAAUGGGCAAUUUAAUUACUUUAUUUGUAGAAUUCCAAAUUACUUUCUAAAAGGAAUGUAUCCAUUAACAAUGUGUUAAUAUGUUCUCCUUUUCAUGAACCCUUCAAUAUUAACUAUUCCCACAUUUUGUCAUCUGUGCCAGUUUUCUUGGUGUAAGGAGAGACUUAAUUGUUGUUUAGAUUUGCAUUUUAUUUAUUAUUAGUGUUUCAUAACAUUUAUGUGACUGUUAAUAAUUUGUGAUUCCUCUUUUGAGAAUACUUUGUUCAAAUCUCUUGGUGAUCUAACUUAUUGAGAAUGACUUGUGGUCUUAUGAAUUUCUUUUAGUUGUCUCUUUAAAUAUUGGAUUUAAGACUCUUUUUAAAAGAUAUCUGAUAUAAAGAUUUUUUCCCCACAAUCAACUGUUUUCCUUAUGAAAGAUACAAUAGUUUUACUCAUGCAAAACCUUUUUCAAUUUCACAUAAUAAAAAUAUCUUGUAAUUUUCUAUUAUUUAUAUUGUUUUUAAAAAAUUCCUGUACCAAUAACUUUGAAAAUUAUAUCAUAUUUCUCUCUUAAUUACUUUAUGAUGUGUUUUUUAAUGUUCAAGCCAUGUAUCCAUAUUGAACUUGUUGUAAAAUAUAGGUUAACGGUUGGAAAAAUAUCAAAUGCUCUUGGAGAGGUCAAGCGAAUAUAAUAAAGAUGACAAUACUAC
This is a long non-coding RNA of Sarcophilus harrisii (Tasmanian devil), 1759 nucleotides long. Lineage: Eukaryota; Metazoa; Chordata; Mammalia; Dasyuromorphia; Dasyuridae. The record is from Ensembl.